UACGUAGGUGGCGAGCGUUAUCCGGAAUUAUUGGGCGUAAAGAGCGCGCAGGUGGUUGAUUAAGUCUGAUGUGAAAGCCCACGGCUUAACCGUGGAGGGUCAUUGGAAACUGGUCGACUUGAGUGCAGAAGAGGGAAGUGGAAUUCCAUGUGUAGCGGUGAAAUGCGUAGAUAUAUGGAGGAACACCAGUGGCGAAGGCGACUUUCUGGUCUAUUAUUGACGCUGAGGCUCGAAAGCACGGGUAGCAAACAGGAUUAGAUACCCCCGUA
RNAcentral lists this ribosomal RNA (269 nucleotides) under uncultured prokaryote. RNAcentral describes it as "partial 16S ribosomal RNA". It matches the Rfam family "Bacterial small subunit ribosomal RNA", at positions 524 to 792 of the family's 1533-position model. The record is from RNAcentral.